This 492-nucleotide ribosomal RNA is filed under the name uncultured bacterium. RNAcentral describes it as "partial 16S ribosomal RNA". It matches the Rfam family "Bacterial small subunit ribosomal RNA", at positions 30 to 507 of the family's 1533-position model. The record is from RNAcentral.
AGUGAACGCUGGCGGUAGGCCUAACACAUGCAAGUCGAACGGCAGCACAGUAAGAGCUUGCUCUUACGGGUGGCGAGUGGCGGACGGGUGAGGAAUACAUCGGAAUCUACUUUUUCGUGGGGGAUAACGUAGGGAAACUUACGCUAAUACCGCAUACGACCUACGGGUGAAAGCAGGGGAUCUUCGGACCUUGCGCGAUUGAAUGAGCCGAUGUCGGAUUAGCUAGUUGGCGGGGUAAAGGCCCACCAAGGCGACGAUCCGUAGCUGGUCUGAGAGGAUGGUGGCCCACAUGGGAGGAGGAACAGGGCCCGCGCGCCCAGGGGAGGCAGCAGGGGGAAAUGUGGAACAAUGGGCGCAGGCGGGCCCCGGCAGUACCGCGGGGUUGAAAAGGGCCUUGGGUUUGAAAAGCCCUUUGGUGGGGAAAAAAAAGCAGCGGUGUAAUCACCCGCGGGCCGGACGUUACCAAAAGCAGAAGCACCGGCUAACUUCGUG